CGCAGUCUCUCUCUCUCUCUCUCUCAGGCUCCCUCUUCGUCGCCGCCUUCGUCGUGUUUGUGUUCGUGUGUGUUUUUUUUCUUUUUUUUUUAGUGUUUUGGUGUUGUGCUGACGGAGGCGCUGAAGGUGGUGGUGGUGGUGUGAGGAAAAGGAAAGGUUUGUAGUGUGUGUGUGUGUGUGUGUGUGUGUGUGUGUGUGUGUGUGUGUGUGUGUGUGUGUGUGUGUGUGUGUGUGUGUGUGUUCUUUUCCGUCCGUCCGUCUGUCUGUCUGUCUGAGUCUCUCUCUCUCUCUCUCUCUCUCUCUCUCUCUCUCUCUCUCUCUCUCUCUCUCUCUCUCUCUCUCUCUCUCUCUCACACCCCCGUCCUCCUUUCCCUUACCCCCAAAAAGAGCAACACCCCCCACACCAAACCCCAUCCUCCCCCCAUCCCCCCUCCCCCCACUCACAUCCCUACGGCUAGAGAGAGAGAGAAAGUGUGUGUGUGUGUGUGUGUGUGUGUGUGUGUGUGUGUGUGUGUGUGUGUGUGUGUGUGUGUGUGUGUGUUUCAAAGUGUCGUCCAAAAUACGUGAAAAGCUUUGAAACAAUGAAAAAAAAAGGCCAAUGUUUUUCAUUUCCCCUCGAGACAUUCACUCGAAAAAAGGGUAAAAAAAAAAUAAUAAUAAUUGGAAGAAAAAAGGAAAAAAAAAUAUGUACUUGUGAAAAAAAUGAAGAGAAAAUGUAAGAAAAUGAGAUGAAGAAAAAAAAAAGGAGGAAAGAAGGAAAGAAAAACGUGGAGGUAAUGUUGUAAAUGAGACGAAUAAAAAGAGAGACAGAGAGAGAAAAAAAAAAAUAGUUUAAAGCAAGACAAGAGUUUCCUGGCACGACCUCUGGUGUGGCAGAUGUGGGCGUGGGCAGGUGUGGGUGGCUUCCAGAGGCUUUAAUUAGUGCAAGGUGAGAUGGCCAGGCCAUACCUGCAACACACCUGAGCGUCGUGCAGCUGCCACACCUGACGGAGGGAAGGAGUGCCGACGCUGGAGGGACUGGAGGAAAGAGUGGAAGGAAAUUAGUGAGGGAAUAAACAGCAUCUGAGGAAAAGAGGUUACCAAGAGGACGGCGAGAGAGAGAGAGAGAGAGAGAGAGAGAGAGAGAGAGAGAGAGAGAGAGAGAGAGAGAGAGAGAGAGAGAGAGAAUCCCUUAAUUGCUACUUUCACCCCCUCCCUCUCCCUCUCUCUCUCUCUCUCUCAUCUCCUUAGUGUUACACUUAAUCGUGUUCCAGUCACUUAGGAGAAUGACCGAGGAGGAGGAGGAGGAGGAGGAGGAGGAGGAGGAGGAGGAGGAGGAGUGACCAUUGCUUCCGGUAAGAUUUAUGCUCUCUCUCUCUCUCUCUCUCUCUCUCUCUCUCUCUCUCUCUCUCUCUCUCUCUCUCUCUCUCUCUCACACACACAGACCCAGAGUAAGUUGACGAACCCACAGUCACAAAAAAAAAUCUCUCUCUCUCUCUCUCUCUCUCUCUCUCUCUCUCUCUCUCUCUCUCUCUCUCUCUCUCUCUCUCUCUCUCUCUCUCUCUCUCUUGCAUUACCUCCAUACUCUCCCUCUGCUCUCCCUCUGCUCUCCCUCUCUCCCCCGGGGGCUUGAAUGAGGGAAAGUGUGAAGAUCUUGAUAAAACGCGACAGGAUCGAUACUUCCAGCGCGGCGAUGAAUAGGAUGCCCGCCCCUUAAUCCUGCUGAUCUGAUAAUGCCCGUAGAUGAAGCCUCGUCCAUACACACACCCCAGAACCCUUUAACUUUCACCUUGUAUAGAGACCAAUAAAGAUGCUCUAGAAAA
This is a long non-coding RNA of Scylla paramamosain (green mud crab), 1802 nucleotides long. RefSeq lists it as uncharacterized. The record is from RefSeq and is a predicted model, not a curated record. NCBI's taxonomy places the organism in Eukaryota, Metazoa, Arthropoda, Malacostraca, Decapoda, Portunidae. The transcript has 5 exons.